RNAcentral lists this ribosomal RNA (253 nucleotides) under uncultured bacterium. RNAcentral's name for it is "partial 16S ribosomal RNA". It matches the Rfam family "Bacterial small subunit ribosomal RNA", at positions 524 to 776 of the family's 1533-position model. The record is from RNAcentral.
UACGGGGGGGGCAAGCGUUGUUCGGAAUUACUGGGCGUAAAGGGCUCGUAGGCGGCCAACUAAGUCGGACGUGAAAUCCCUCGGCUUAACCGGGGAACUGCAUCCGAUACUGGAUGGCUUGAGUUCGGGAGAGGGAUGCGGAAUUCCAGGUGUAGCGGUGAAAUGCGUAGAUAUCUGGAGGAACACCGGUGGCGAAGGCGGCAUCCUGGACCGACACUGACGCUGAGGAGCGAAAGCCAGGGGAGCAAACGGG